UACAGAGGGGGCAAGCGUUGUUCGGAAUUACUGGGCGUAAAGGGCGCGUAGGCGGCCUGCUAAGUCGAACGUGAAAUCCCCGAGCUCAACUCGGGAACUGCGUCCGAUACUGACAGGCUUGAAUCCGGGAGAGGGAUGCGGAAUUCCAGGUGUAGCGGUGAAAUGCGUAGAUAUCUGGAGGAACACCGGUGGCGAAGGCGGCUUUCUGGGCCUUACCUGACGCUGAGGAGCGAAAGCUGGGGGAGCAAACAGG
This 253-nucleotide ribosomal RNA is filed under the name uncultured bacterium. RNAcentral's name for it is "partial 16S ribosomal RNA". It matches the Rfam family "Bacterial small subunit ribosomal RNA", at positions 524 to 776 of the family's 1533-position model. The record is from RNAcentral.